Molecule: ribosomal RNA, 484 nt
Filed under: uncultured bacterium
Lineage: Bacteria
Description: partial 16S ribosomal RNA
Rfam family: Bacterial small subunit ribosomal RNA
Source: RNAcentral
AGUGAACGCUGGCGGCAGGCCUAACACAUGCAAGUCGAGCGGCAGCAGGGAACGUGCUCGUGGAUUCGGCGGCGGAGGGGUGGGUGAGGGCUAGGAACCUGCCUAGUAGUUUUGGCUAAGGGCCGAACACGGGGGCUAAUACGGCAUUCGCGCAUACGGAGUAAGGGGGGGAGCAUCGGACCUCCGGAUAUCACAUGAGUCUAGGUCGGAUUAGCUAGUUGGUGGGGUAAAGGCGUACCAAGGCGACGAUCCGUAGCUGGUCUGAGAGGAUGAUCAGUCACACUGGAACUGAGACACGGUCCAGACUCCUACGGGAGGCAGCAGUGGGGAAUAUUGGACAAUGGGCGCAAGCCUGAUCCAGCCAUGCCGCGUGUGUGAAGAAGGUCUUCGGAUUGUAAAGCACUUUUGGUUGGGAGGAAGAGCAGUAGGUUAAUACCUUGCUGUUUUGACGGUACCAAAAGAAUAAGCACCGGCUAACUUCGUG